Long non-coding RNA from Bufo bufo (common toad), 186 nucleotides. RefSeq lists it as uncharacterized. Lineage: Eukaryota; Metazoa; Chordata; Amphibia; Anura; Bufonidae. The transcript is spliced from 3 exons. The record is from RefSeq and is a predicted model, not a curated record.
CACAGUCAAGCCACAUUAUUCUGACCAGCAGUUAAUAUCCAGAGUAACCGCCAUGUGCAGCACAGACCGCAGCUAGAUGGGCUGAGAGUGACUCAGUAAGGUCCUGGUAGGUUAUCACAGGCAUCUGGAGCCAUGCUGCCUGCAGGGCAUCCUACAGCUGCUGGAGGGGGAAAAGGUCCAUGGAGC